This 483-nucleotide ribosomal RNA is filed under the name uncultured bacterium. RNAcentral describes it as "partial 16S ribosomal RNA". It matches the Rfam family "Bacterial small subunit ribosomal RNA", at positions 29 to 523 of the family's 1533-position model. The record is from RNAcentral.
AGUGAACGCUGGCGGCGUGCUUAACACAUGCAAGUCGAACGAGAACGGAUUAUAGCUUGCUAUAAUUGUCAGCUAGUGGCGCACGGGUGAGUAAUGUAUAGGUAAUAUGCCUCUUACUAAGGGAUAACAAAUGGAAACGUUUGCUAAUACCUUAUACUCCUUAUUAACAGAAGUUAAUAAGGGAAAGAUUUAUUGGUAAGAGAUUAGCCUGUAUUGUAUCAGUUAGUUGGUGAGGUAAUGGCUUACCAAGACUAUGACACAUAACUGGUUUGAGAGGAUGAUCAGUCACACUGGAACUGAGACACGGUCCAGACUCCUACGGGAGGCAGCAGUGGGGAAUAUUGCACAAUGGACGAAAGUCUGAUGCAGCAACGCCGCGUGGAGGAUGACACAUUUCGGUGCGUAAACUCCUUUUAUAUGAGAAGAUAAUGACGGUAUUAUAUGAAUAAGCACCGGCUAACUCCGUGCCAGCAGCCGCCGUAA